AUGGGUUAAUAAUUGUAAUGAAUCCGACAUGGUUACUGGCAAGUAACCAGGGGAGGGGCACAUACCUCGUCCUCAAGCUGCAAGAGGUCCAAAAAUCAAAGCACAUACCUCAUCCUCAAGCUGCAAACUAAAUUUAAACAAAUCUGCAUUCAGUAUAUAAGCAAAAAAAUCAAUGGAACACUUUUGAAACAAAAGAAUGAUGGUAGACUAAUAGGAACCUAUUCCUAGAUUUUGUACCAACCUAUGAUUUAUAAGGGAGGAUUAGUAGAAUCAUACAACUUUUGAUCUUUUACCAUUCAUUCAUCUCACAAGCGAGCACAUGAAAACCCAAUUGGCUAGAACUAUCAGGCAACAUAGCAGUCCAAAAGCUUGACACAUUACCUGCAGAAAAGGUUGUGGCACAUUGUGUGAACAAUCUGGCAGCAGACUGGAAAAUAUCAUGAUAAAAGAUCCAAUAAAGUUGUGGAAUUGUCAACAUCAAGGCUCCUUUAAUAUGCUAGACAAAGAACUCGAGCACCUUUUGGUCAAGAAGGAAACAUGCUACAUUUAAACUCUAUCCAAAAGUAAUAUUUCACAUGUUAUUCUGCUAAAAAUUAACUUGAUCCAUAUAACUUGUGAAGUGUAGACAAAGCUUGCAGUAGUGACUAAUUCCAUACCUGAGACAUCCAGAAAGCAUAUGCUUGCGUUCUAAUGUUCUAUGUAUUGGAAAUAGAAUGUGUGGAGACAUCUUCAAGAAUCUGAAUGCUUGUUCGGGAGUAGUCCUACAUAUUACAGAACAGCCUCAUGCUAACGCAACUCUGCUGGAGGCAUGAUCGCCAUAAAACACAAAACAUAGAAACGAUCUGUGCAGUAGCCCAAACACACACACAGUCAAAUCGACUAAAGGCAAACGGAAACUCACCUAGGGAUUAAGGUUCCUGACCAUCUGCCUGCCUACGGCGAGGGAGGAGCGAGUAGAUCGCAGUGCUGCCAUGCUUGCAGUGGGACGGACUCGGCGACGAGCAGUUCUCUCAGGCGUGCGAGGAAUGACGCCGAAAAUAGUUGCCGCCGUUCGGCUGGGACCUUGGCAUGGGGUGCGUCAACGAUGCUAGGAGGAAGGGGGAAGCCACAGCGCGGUGGCACUGGAGGGAGGGAGGAGGCGGCGGGAGAAGAUGGCCAUCCUUGCAGGCGCGGGGAGAGGGACGGCGCAAGGAGGGGAAGGGAGGAGCGGCGACGUAUGAUCUGUCCUUCUCGAUCAGGACUCUCAGGUGAAGUCGAUCCACA
This 1263-nucleotide long non-coding RNA is filed under the name Triticum aestivum (bread wheat). RNAcentral's name for it is "long non-coding RNA (TAES_LNC016283)". The record is from RNAcentral. Lineage: Eukaryota; Viridiplantae; Streptophyta; Magnoliopsida; Poales; Poaceae.